This 1026-nucleotide long non-coding RNA is filed under the name Fukomys damarensis (Damara mole-rat). RNAcentral describes it as "lncRNA (ENSFDAG00000022233.1)". Lineage: Eukaryota; Metazoa; Chordata; Mammalia; Rodentia; Bathyergidae. The record is from RNAcentral.
GCCGCCAGUGCAGAGGGCAGAAAGACGUUCCCAGAAAGCUUACAAGAUUACUGGGUUGGGCGACUCAAGGUGAACAGUGUGCUCGCAUGACAUAAAGGAGGACAGUCUGCAAGACGGUGUGAUUGCCAUCAGCGAGUGGAGGGGACCUUUCCCAAUCGUGGCUUCCCAGCAUCUUCUCCAUCAAUUCCCACAAGCAUGAGUGUGGCAGCAUGAAGAGGGCUCGAAGAUUUCUGGAUUUCUACCUUCUGGCUAUAUUUGUGCUUCAGCCCCGGACAGCAGUGACCCUUCACAGCCUCUCACGGCUCAGAGAGGAGGAGUGGGCUGCACUGGGGAAGGAGGAGGCCAGAGGAUGUGGAUGCGGAGGAAGAAACGAGAACCCUCCCAGGCCGUCCCCGGAUGCUGCAGGACACCGAGGACGGUCACAGUACCUGCCACAGAGGGAUGUGGGUGUUUGGGGCCAAUGACUUCAAAAGUGCUGGGCAUACAGGGGGUUCUGGUGACCCUCUUCAACUAUCCCGGGGACCCUGGUCACGUGGACUCUGCUGUGCUGCGGGCCCAGUCCUGGGAGGCCAUGAGCUGUGCCUUUCUGGGCACACCUGGGGUCCCCUCUGUACCCGCACCCCUUACUGUUCCUGCUGUACCUCCUCCCCCGGGGUGUGCAGCAGCUCUGCCUGGUUGCUCCUCCAGAUCAAUCUCCUUUUUCUUCUCCCACUUAACAAACAGCUUCACUUAGGAAGCCAUCUGGGAGGAUGGAUGGCACUGGGCACAUUCUGCAGAAUAAGUUUUCAGAGAAAAUAGCAGGAAAUAAAGGCACAGCACUUACGAUUCCAAUCUCAUUAGGCCCCGUAACUCUGGCCUGUGGAGGACUGAAUUUCUGUGUUGCGAGUUCCCUGUUUCCCCACCGCCCCCUGCCACCCUGUCUUCCCAGCAUCCUGGACUCCAUUACCACGUGUCACAGUGUCUCUAGCCAAUUUCCCCCUCCCUCACCAGGAGGGCCUGCGGCUGGGGUUUCCUGACCCCUUGCGC